AGGGAUCAUUACAGAGUUGCAAAACUCCCACAAACCAUCGCGAAUCUUACCCGUACGGUUGCCUCGGCGCUGGCGGUCCGGAAAGGCCCUCGGGUCCUCCCGGAUCCUCGGGUCUCCCGCUCGCGGGAGGCUGCCCGCCGGAGUGCCGAAACUAAACUCUCGAUAUUUUAUGUCUCUCUGAGUAAACUUUUAAAUAAGUCAAAGCUUUCAACAACGGAUCUCUUGGUUCUGGCAUCGAUGAAGAACGCAGCGAAAUGCGAUAAGUAAUGUGAAUUGCAGAAUUCAGUGAAUCAUCGAAUCUUUGAACGCACAUUGCGCUCGCCAGUAUUCUGGCGAGCAUGCCUGUUCGAGCGUCAUUUCAACCAUCAAGCUCUGCUUGCGUUGGGGAUCCGCGGCUGCCCGCGGUCCCUCAAAAUCAGUGGCGGGCUCGCUAGUCACACCGAGCGUAGUAACUCUACAUCGCUAUGGUCGUGCGGCGGGUUCUUGCCGUAAAACCCCCCAUUUCUAAGGUUGACCUCGGAUCAGGUAGGAAUACCCGCUGAACUUAA
This 548-nucleotide ribosomal RNA is filed under the name uncultured Neurospora. RNAcentral describes it as "eukaryotic LSU rRNA". The stretch from base 203 to 356 matches the Rfam family "5.8S ribosomal RNA". The record is from RNAcentral. Lineage: Eukaryota; Fungi; Ascomycota; Sordariomycetes; Sordariales; Sordariaceae.